This 243-nucleotide long non-coding RNA is filed under the name Chinchilla lanigera (long-tailed chinchilla). Its description in RNAcentral is "lncRNA (ENSCLAG00000025841.1)". The record is from RNAcentral. Lineage: Eukaryota; Metazoa; Chordata; Mammalia; Rodentia; Chinchillidae.
UUAAAACUUGAUUCAUUUUAAGAUGGAAUUUUAAGCUCAACAAAGCUGAAACAAGAUAUCUUAUGUACCUACAUUUCAUCAGUUCCGGAAAACUCUGAAAACAAAGCCAAAUAUUAUAUUAGCCCUCACCGCAAUACUGUACAAUUUGCAAGAACUCCUGGGUAAGGUUAUGAAGACUGUCGAAAUCAUGGUAUUGGAUGAGAUACCUUCUUAUGUUGAUAUUUUCCUACUUUUAAUUUGGGA